Long non-coding RNA from Canis lupus familiaris (dog), 1273 nucleotides. RefSeq lists it as uncharacterized. The transcript has 2 exons. The record is from RefSeq and is a predicted model, not a curated record. Lineage: Eukaryota; Metazoa; Chordata; Mammalia; Carnivora; Canidae.
GCUGGGGCCCGGCCUCCUAGGGCUGGUUUGGGAGCGGGGCGGGUCUCCGGCGUUUCUCAGCCGCGCGGGCCUGGGGCCGAGGGUGGCCGUAGCGAUGCCCUGCCUGCUGGCGACGUGCGGUAGGAACGUCGCUAUUAUACACGGGGAUUUUACAGCUUGAUAGGGUGACCACGCUUAUCAGUGUGGUUAACAUAGGCCAGCAAACACCUCGGCGUCGGGUGCCGGAAGGCGCGUGUCUCUUCCCUAACUGAGCCAUAGCCUCGAAACCCCGGCGGGUGGCUGCUAGUCCGACUUCAGCUGCAGCUUGCACACUAAGAAGCGGUUCUCCUACACCUCGGUGUAACUGGUGUAGCAGCACGAUUUACUCAUGCUUCUUCGGAAAGUGUGAGGCAGAAGUGUUUUUGCCGCCCUUACACCUUCCUGGUCCUGUUCCUCUGGCUUGACUGGGGAGGGUAGCCCUGAAGAUUCAGCUUCCGCUCAAAGCAAUCCCGUUACCUCCAAAAGAAAGGUUCUACCUAAAUUAAGGAAAUCAUCGUCAAGCUGCCAAGUUAUCUUCCGGAGGAAGCGAUUGGGCCUUUAGAAACACAGAAAGGGGAGGAGACGGGUUGAUCCUGAAUUCCGUGGCAAGGAAGGCUUUUCCUGCUCUGCCCUACUCCAUGGAGGAGCCGAUGAUGAGUCUUUAUCUUAUUUCUGUACCGGUUACUGUUUUCAUCUUCACCCUGGCCCUUAGAUUACUCUUAGCUGGAUUCAUUGAACUUUAGACUCUAAGAAGACCUUUGAGAUUAUGAAUCCCUCCUUAUGAAACCUCUCAUUUUGCAGGUGAGACGUUGAAGCCCUUACAGUAGAAGCCGGCAAGAUAAAACUUGUGUCAUACCUUCUUCACCAGUAAUUCUUCAUACCACAUGCACUGACAAGGAUUAUUCAAGGUCGGCUCAGACUUACUUAGGCGACAUCACUUAAGUUUGUUUUUAGUGAUGUGUGUAGGUAAAGGAGAUCAGUUCUUUUGAAAAUAAGUGCCAUAUUUCCUAUCCAAAAAAAAAUUUUUAUUACAAAUAUAUUUUAAAUUCAUAUUGUAAAACACUGACAAGAAUAGCAACUAAGGUAUGAUGGUUGGGUUAGUAUGGUGUAUUAGCAAUUUUUUUUUUCCUUCUCACAUCUCUGCAAAGAGGUUUAUUUAUUUAUUUAUUUAUUUAUUUUUUGCAAAGAGGUUUAAUAUUUAAUGAUUUGUGAAAUGUUGUCAUUACCUCCAGUAAAAGCAGUAACUACUACCUCA